RNAcentral lists this non-coding RNA (187 nucleotides) under Desulforudis. Lineage: Bacteria; Bacillati; Bacillota; Clostridia; Thermoanaerobacterales; Desulforudaceae. RNAcentral also lists the same sequence under 1 other name. The record is from RNAcentral.
AACUUCAUAAAGUAUUCAGGUGCCCUGCGCGGCGCAGGGUGAAAAAGGGAACCGGGUGCGAAUCCCGGACGGCCCCGCCACUGUGAUGGGGAGCGCCUGCCUGUAAAAGCCACUAGGCGGAAAGCCUGGGAAGGCGGCAGGCGCGGUGAACCUCAGUCAGGAGACCUGCCUGGAUACGGCGCCACAA